Molecule: long non-coding RNA, 678 nt
Organism: Etheostoma spectabile (orangethroat darter)
Lineage: Eukaryota; Metazoa; Chordata; Actinopteri; Perciformes; Percidae
Exons: 3
Source: RefSeq, a predicted model, not a curated record
GACACCGGAUGUGCUAUAAAACCGUUCCGGAGGACAUUUUCUGUACAUGUUGCAGAAGACGUCCACUCUGUACACCAUGCUUUCUCCAUUCAGGCUCGAAAUAUUUGAAUUUAACAUGGCUAGGAAAAGCGUGUUAGUGUGCUUAUUCUUAAGUCAGUAUUAUAAUACAUGACUUAAGUGCGCAGAAAAUGUACUUUAGAUCUUAAAGCAUUAUAGUGCAUGUUGGAGCGAUGCGACAAGGCCGCAAAAGCGUGGAAAUGCGGAGGACCUGUAAUAAACUCUGAUCCAUGCGGUGGUUCUGAGCUGUCUCCACAUCUGCACGAGGUCCGAAGGACGAUGGUCCGCCAUGACUUUUGACGAGAAAAAGGUUUGAAGUGUGGAUUGAUCCCAGCAAUGGCAACAUGGUAAGUAUAUUUUGGGUAAGCAGGAAGUUACAAAUAAUGCUCAUGGUUAGACUUCUGAUUUUAUAAAUAUAACAAGUCUGACAUGGCUCACCGAAUGUCUUUAAUGAUGUUUCAGUAACUAUGUAUUUUUUUCUUCUUCUCUGCAGCAGUCAGACUGCGGUGCUCUGGAAAUGGACAAGCUGUAAAUUAUAGCUGACAUGAGGACUCAAGUUUAAAAAUAUAUUGGAAUUGUGGGAGUAUAAUGUCCUGUAUGAAUAAAGCAUUUCUAAACCAG